GUGAGGAAUUUUCCGCAAUGGGCGAAAGCCUGACGGAGCAAUGCCGCGUGAAGGAUGAAGGCCUAUGGGUUGUAAACUUCUUUUCUCAGAAAAGAAUUAUGACGGUAUCUGAGGAAUAAGCAUCGGCUAACUCUGUGCCAGCAGCCGCGGUAAGACAGAGGAUGCAAGCGUUAUCCGGAAUGAUUGGGCGUAAAGCGUCUGUAGGUUGUUUAAAAAGUAUUCUGUCAAAGAUUAGGGCUUAACCCUAGAUAGGCAGAAUAAACUUUUAAGCUAGAGUUUGGUAGAGGCAGAGGGAAUUCCCGGUGGAGCGGUGAAAUGCGUAGAUAUCGGAGGAACACCAAAGGCGAAGGCACUCUGCUGGGCCAAUACUAACACUGAGAGACGAAAGCGAGGGGAGCAAAUGGGAUUAGAAACCCUAGUAGUCC
This 425-nucleotide ribosomal RNA is filed under the name uncultured bacterium. RNAcentral describes it as "partial 16S ribosomal RNA". It matches the Rfam family "Bacterial small subunit ribosomal RNA", at positions 354 to 796 of the family's 1533-position model. The record is from RNAcentral.